ACCCUCUCCCAGGUCUAGAGAGGGGUACCCACGGUGGAGGGAGGUGGGAGGCCGAGACGGCCCCGGGGGUCGGCGGAGACCCAGCGGGAGCAGGGGGAAAUCGGAAGAGCUGGGGGCAUGGAGCGGGCGAGUUUGGAGCGGAAUGAGCCGGGAGCCCUACGUUGUGGAAGGAAGACAACAGUAUAGGACCAUCAGCAGGACCGGACAGAGAGGGCCCUGGCUGUCCUGGAACUUGUAGACCAGGCUGGCCUUGAACUCAGAAAUCCGCCUGCCUCUGACUCCCGAGUGCUGAGAUUAAAGGUGUGCACCACCACACCCGACAAGGAAGCCUGUUUUAAGAAGUGAUUCCAUGGAGGAGUUCUGCGGCGGCUCAGGGCUUGACUAAACAGUGGACCUCAGACAAGAGAGGCUAAACCAGGCUGCAGGUGACAGGAAGAAUUGAAUAAACUGAAAGCAAAGGGCAGCCUUCUAAUUACGCUUCGUGGCUAUGUGGACAACCUGGAGAAGUCUGGAAACCUUUCCUCCUCCAUUUUACUACUUGAGGGAGCAGUGGGUGGGAUACUAGAAAGAAGCCAGAAGCCCGAAGCCAGCAGUAGAGCUCUGACUGGCUUGUAUGCCUAGAAAGGAAGGGCUCUUCUUUCGCCUCACGGGCACAAAUGGGACCCACGAGCGCCGAUUUCAGACUAUUCUGAUCCCUUCAAAAAGAAAGUUAGGAGUCCAGGCUACUGUGAGUGAAUUUGAUUCUAAUUGUUUCAGAGAAUAUGGAAUAAAAUAUCUCAUUUGCA
This 785-nucleotide long non-coding RNA is filed under the name Mus musculus (house mouse). RNAcentral describes it as "predicted gene 20544". Lineage: Eukaryota; Metazoa; Chordata; Mammalia; Rodentia; Muridae. The record is from RNAcentral.